AUUGAACGCUGGCGGCAUGCCUUACACAUGCAAGUCGAACGGCAGCACGGGUGCUUGCACCUGGUGGCGAGUGGCGAACGGGUGAGUAAUACAUCGGAACAUGUCCUGUAGCGGGGGAUAGCCCGGCGAAAGCCGGAUUAAUACCGCAUACGAUCUACGGAUGAAAGCGGGGGACCUUCGGGCCUCGCGCUAUAGGGUUGGCCGAUGGCUGAUUAGCUAGUUGGUGGGGUAAAGGCCUACCAAGGCGACGAUCAGUAGCUGGUCUGAGAGGACGACCAGCCAUACUGGGACUGAGACACGGCCCAGACUCCUACGGGAGGCAGCAGUGGGGAAUUUUGGACAAUGGGCGAAAGCCUGAUCCAGCAAUGCCGCGUGUGUGAAGAAGGCCUUCGGGUUGUAAAGCACUUUUGUCCGGAAAGAAAUCCUUGGCCCUAAUACGGUCGGGGGAUGACGGUACCGGAAGAAUAAGCACCGGCUAACUACGUG
Molecule: ribosomal RNA, 486 nt
Filed under: uncultured bacterium
Lineage: Bacteria
Description: partial 16S ribosomal RNA
Rfam family: Bacterial small subunit ribosomal RNA
Source: RNAcentral